GAUGAACGCUGGCGGCGUGCCUAAUACAUGCAAGUCGAGCGAACGGACGAGAAGCUUGCUUCUCUUAUGUUAGCGGCGGACGGGUGAGUAACACGUGGAUAACUUACCUUUAAGACUGGGAUACCUUCGGGAAACCUGAUCUAAUACCGGAUAAUAUUUUGAACCGCAUGGUUCAACAGUGAAAGACGUUCUUGCUGUCACUUAUAGAUGUUUCCUCGCUGCAUUAGCUAGUUGGUAAGGUAACGGCUUACCAAGGCAACGAUGCAUAGCCGACCUGAGAGGGUGAUCGGCCACACUGGAACUGAGACACGGUCCAGACUCCUACGGGAGGCAGCAGUAGGGAAUAUUCCGCAAUGGGCGAAAGCCUGACGGAGCAACGCCGCGUGAGUGAUGAAGGUCUUCGGAUCGUAAAACACUGUUAUUAGGGAAGAACAUAUGUGAAAGUAAAUGUGCACAUCUUGACGGUACCUAAUCAGAAAGCCACGGCUAACUACGUG
Molecule: ribosomal RNA, 497 nt
Filed under: uncultured bacterium
Lineage: Bacteria
Description: partial 16S ribosomal RNA
Rfam family: Bacterial small subunit ribosomal RNA
Source: RNAcentral